This 454-nucleotide ribosomal RNA is filed under the name Streptococcus sp. oral taxon A95. RNAcentral's name for it is "bacterial SSU rRNA". It matches the Rfam family "Bacterial small subunit ribosomal RNA", at positions 28 to 468 of the family's 1533-position model. Lineage: Bacteria; Bacillati; Bacillota; Bacilli; Lactobacillales; Streptococcaceae. The record is from RNAcentral.
GACGAACGCUGGCGGCGUGCCUAAUACAUGCAAGUAGAACGCUGAAGGAGGAGCUUGCUUCUCUGGAUGAGUUGCGAACGGGUGAGUAACGCGUAGGUAACCUGCCUGGUAGCGGGGGAUAACUAUUGGAAACGAUAGCUAAUACCGCAUAAGAGUAGAUGUUGCAUGACAUUUGCUUAAAAGGUGCAAUUGCAUCACUACCAGAUGGACCUGCGUUGUAUUAGCUAGUUGGUGAGGUAACGGCUCACCAAGGCGACGAUACAUAGCCGACCUGAGAGGGUGAUCGGCCACACUGGGACUGAGACACGGCCCAGACUCCUACGGGAGGCAGCAGUAGGGAAUCUUCGGCAAUGGGGGGAACCCUGACCGAGCAACGCCGCGUGAGUGAAGAAGGUUUUCGGAUCGUAAAGCUCUGUUGUAAGAGAAGAACGGGUGUGAGAGUGGAAAGUUCACA